This 806-nucleotide long non-coding RNA is filed under the name Gossypium barbadense (sea-island cotton). RNAcentral describes it as "long non-coding RNA (GBAR_LNC000419)". Lineage: Eukaryota; Viridiplantae; Streptophyta; Magnoliopsida; Malvales; Malvaceae. The record is from RNAcentral.
GACAAGGCCAAUUAAAAGAGCCCUAGGAGUCCCGGGAAGAUAGAGGCAAGACAAACCCGUCUGCUAUUCUGCCUUUGCGCAGACUGAUCACACGCGGCACACAUUCUAUAUGAUCGAUGAUUGCAAUGCGCUUCGAUUUCAUAUACUUCUUCGCUUUCUCUUUCGUAGAAAGCCCUACUUUCAUUACAUCUGACGCUAUAUAUGCUAACAUCAUUUCAUUAGAAUACAUCACAUACACAUAAUUUGCAUUAGACUGAAAGUAAAGGGGAGAGUACUAUAGAAAGCGUUACGUUCAGAUGCCCUUCAUCCUACCCGAAAUCGGAGUUGAAGCUCGACUAACAAUGAAGUUGAAAAGCCAAUUCCGGGAAAAAAACUCGCUCUUAAGCAGGGGCUAACUCCACCGAAGCUAAUACCAUUAGGAGAGGAAGAAACUUAGCUCACAAGUAGAAGGGUUUCAAACCGCUUGACUAGAUAUAGAUAGGAAAGAAGAAAUGGCAAUGCUGCUCAGUCUCUAAGCUACUCGACUGACUAACUAACUCGAUUAACUAAGAAGGAAAGGAGCUAAGAAAGUAGGGCAUAAAUAGCUGCAAGGAAUGAAGGAAAGUAGGGAACUGAUACCACCAGCCGAAGAAAAGAUAUUGUUCUUGCGGAGAAAAGCCUACUUACUUGUUCUUGCUGCUUUUAAUUUAAGAGCAAGUCGGUCUAGCUUCUUACUCUUUCACCUUUCAAAGAAGUCGAAAUAGAAAGGCGUAGGAAAGAUCCCGAGUACCUUGUUCAAGUUGCGGAUCUCCUUCAUUAGCUUUGAG